This 2389-nucleotide unclassified non-coding RNA is filed under the name Leishmania donovani. RNAcentral describes it as "gene:LdHU3.29.3270(CDS-product:Leucine_Rich_Repea t/Leucine_rich_repeat_putative)". The record is from RNAcentral. Lineage: Eukaryota; Euglenozoa; Kinetoplastea; Trypanosomatida; Trypanosomatidae.
CGGUGCAAGGUGUGGCCUUCACGCUUAUUGCCCAUCGCUUUCACAUUGACGUGUGCCUCUGCUGCUGCUGUAGUGUCCGCAUCUCUCAUCUUUUUUUUUGCGUUGCUUGUAAGGCACUUAUAUCCGCCUUUGAAGUGCGCCUACGUUUUGCAUGUGUGUGUGUAUGCAUUGUGUGUUUUGGUGCUCUUCGCUAAUAAUAAGUCUCAUCCCCUUCAUGCGCGACGUGCGUCUGAACACGCGUUCAUGCACGUGCGUUUUGGCGUGCUCAGACUUCUGUCUCCGUUUUUCGCUGUUCGCUUUACAGUAUAUUGCACAUAUAUAUAUGUGCUAUUUAUAAUAAUAAUAUAUAUACACCUAUAUGUAUUUAUUUAUAUAUAUAUAUUUUUUUGGUUUUGCUGAUCGUUUUAUCGUCGGAGCGAAACGCUGUGCAUCAACGAGCAGCGUCUGACAUCUACCGCGAUAGGACACAGGUGAGAGAAGCGAGAAAGAAUAUUCCCACAAGAGCCUCACCGGGUUCUACGAAGUUGUGCUUUCAAGUAGGAUGAACACGGCGACUGUGAUGAUGGCGCGCGGCCCGGUCACCCCACACCGCCGCCUUAGUAGAUGCACCAGCGCGCUCUGUUGUGCCAUCGCGAUCGCACUGUUUUGUGCUCUUUGUUGCGAAGUCAGCGCGCUGGAGGUGGGCAAGUUUUUUCCCGCCAAGACGCGCAUGAGCGCGAAGGAUCGUUACGAAUCUGUUCUGGCGCUGCAGUCUCUGCAGCGCGCGAUCGACGACCCUGAGCUGCAAAAGGAGGUAGAGUCCGCGCUCAAGGACACAACGAGGGGCUUCGACAUGUGCCGAUCGGCGCUGUACCGCUGCAACCGCGUGACCGGCGCUCUCGAGGAGGCGGUCAUCGAGGGCAUGCGAGACGGAACUGUGAAGUGGGACGAGUAUCCCAAGUCGGUGAAGCGGAUCCGCAUCACGGACUCGAGGCUGAGGCAGCCACUCGUGCUCUCCAGCUUACCUGCGAACCUUGAGGAAUUCGUGGCAACGAACGUGGAGUGGGAGUCCGACUCGAUUCUUCAGGCCCCAGGGAGUGGCGAGGGGGGAGUUGUGAAGGGGCCCUUGGCUCAUCUUCGCGUUUUGCAAUGUGACAACUGCGCUCUCGUGAAGGCAGAGGUGACGACGACGACACCCCAGCUGGAGUGGCUGCAGGUGUUGAGCCUUUCCGGCAAUCCAGACUUGUUCAUCGAUCUCCGCGAGCUGCCGCGCAACCUCCAAUCUCUGCAGCUCUCGUACACACAGCUGGCUCACUCCACGGUCAGGGAGGUAUUGGAGACUGCGCCGGCGUUUCUCUCGCUGCUGAAUAUCAGCUUCACCGGUGUUGCUCUGACCCUCGACAUGCUGCCGUCUGCACGGAAUCAGCUGAAGGCGUUGGAUGUGUCCGGCCUGGAAAGCAACAACCCGGGGUCACCUCUGUCUCUCUCUCAGCUGCAAAGCGCGUGUGGCGAAAGUGGCUUCAGCCUCGCAGAACUGUACCUCACCAGGUGCAGCCUGACGGGCACCCUCCCUCACCUUCGUAACUGCACGAAGCUGAAGGUGAUGGAUGUGUCGCACAACCUCCUCGAUGGCGCCGUGUUCGCUCAACUCCCCGAGAACAUAGAGUUGCUGCGUCUCAACAACAAUGCGAUACAGGGUGGCCUGCGCACCAGCGAACUCCCGCGCACUCUGCGCUCCCUUGAUCUUUCUGAAAACCAUUUCACGGGUGAGGUCGACCUCUCGGCACUGCCGCCGCAGCUGCAGUACCUCAACAUUGGCCACAAUCACUUCAGCGGCCAGGUGAACCUCACGCAGCUACCCGAGUCUGUCAAGUUUGUGUACAUGGAGUAUAACAACUUCACCGGCGCGGCUGACCUCGUCGACCUCCCACUCGGCAUCCGUUUUAUCAUGGUCCACCACAACAACUGGGACUACCUCAUGCCCGCCCCGUGAGAUGGGCCAGCACCAUUUAAGGCGAAAAAGCCGGCGGAAGGGUGCGGCGUUCUUAUUGUGGUGCUCGUGGUGGCAGCCUCAGCUCUCCGUCUUGCUCACCCUCUGCAUCUGAGCCGUUCACCUCCGUCUUCGUCUCUCUCUUUCUCCCCAUGCCAGUGCGCACGUACGUAUCUGCUUUUGGUGGUGAUUAAGCGCGGGGGUGGCGUAGCCAGGCGGUGGCGGCAGGGUUGGGGGGCAUCAAGUCAACAUUGUGCCUGGUUUAUGAGCAGCGAGCACCUUUGGGCUGUAGCACGUGUUGAGGAGAGUAAUAUCCAGCGCAUUCUUGUGUGACUAUCAUUUCGUGCGCCAUGUUACCUUCUCCUGCUCGCCCUUUUUUUUCCUAACACCAUUCGGUUACUUUUUUUCUGCUGCUUUUAG